Molecule: long non-coding RNA, 1428 nt
Filed under: Sander lucioperca (pikeperch)
Lineage: Eukaryota; Metazoa; Chordata; Actinopteri; Perciformes; Percidae
Description: lncRNA (ENSSLUG00000001363.1)
Source: RNAcentral
CGACAGCCAAAACGUUCGUUGCAAGUUUUUCAAAAAACAAUUUGAAAAAAUGCAGACAGAGCUGAAGAGCGUGUUUACGACUGAAGACACAGGCUUUGUUGUGAGUCUGAAACCGGAUUCAGGAUUCUCUCAGAAUAAAAUCAUACAAGAUUGGCACUCUGUUGAAGACAUUCUCCCAGGAGCUGUACCAGAGUCUACCACGCCCACCCAUGAAGCUGGACGUCUGACCAGCAGGCAGAGAUUGAUCAGUGUGAGUCUUCUUCAGUAGAUUAUGAGACCAUCAAAAAUGACGUUGACAGUUUGUUUAAUCAAUUAAACCUACGACAGAAACCUGCAGCAAAUGGCAGCAAAACACCAGAUGUCUUCGCAUCAAAUGGUAUGUUCAGGAAGUUCUCAAAGGCACUGACUGAUAAAAUGUACGACCACCUGAAUACUGGCCCAACAUAUCAGAUUCCUGUGGUUCAAACGGAAAGAUGUCUCUCUGACUCUGUCAUCUGUGGAAUCAGAAGAAAGUCUCACCUUUCACCUGAAGUUCUAUAUGUCAUGACAGAAGACGCAGUGGGAAAGUUCUUGCAGCAGGGGCUACUCUGGUUGGAAAAGGACCCAUCAGAAAAAGCAAGUCACAGUGACAAAGUCUCUGGUGCUCUAACUGACAUCCAAAACUUAAUCGCAAAAAUGCUGACACUACCCAAAGAAGAAAACGACAAGCAGGAGUCCCCUAAAGCCAGCAGCAGUCAGCAUCAGACUACAACAACUUCUCGUUCAAGUCAGGCAUCAAGCGCUAAUGAUGUGACACUAUCUGAAUACAUCUGCAGUGAUGAUGAUAUUAACAACUUGAAUGUCAGACGCCAUGUUGAUAGUUACAAAUUAAUUCCAGGCAAUGUGGCUCCAAGAGUCGCAAAUAAUGAAUUGUCCUCUGAGUUUUCACCGGUCUGUGACCCCAGUCAGAUGACUGAGAGGUUGACCGACCUCUUCAUCACUGCUCUGCUCAUGAGGCUUCUCACAAAAGUCCCUCGGAGGACCAGAAUGUCCCUGCAGCUGGCAGACAUCGACGCCAUCGUCAAACGUCUGUCAGAGAAGGCGCAGAAGGAAAUCAACAUCCCUAAAUCUGCUGUCAGAAAAAACAGAAACAUCUUGAAAAAUGCACACGAGAAGAUGUUCAUAGAGCUUGAAAAGGAGUUUGGUUCUCCAAAAAGGCUACUGGAGGCUGCAAUGGCAUCAAACGAUAAAUCUUUUGAUGAUGCUGUUUUGAAGAGUCUGAAAAUCCAUCUGAAUAUCCUCCUCAGUCCACGGCCAAAGACGUUUGCAGCUGUCAAGUCUGCAGUUGUCAAGUUUUUUACAGCAGUGGGAAACUUGUUAAUCAAGCCCUGUAGGGGUUUCCCUGCCUGCGGCCCCAAGCAGUCUUAAAGCAUACUGCAUUUGUCUUGG